RNAcentral lists this ribosomal RNA (235 nucleotides) under uncultured Lactobacillus sp. RNAcentral describes it as "partial 16S ribosomal RNA". It matches the Rfam family "Bacterial small subunit ribosomal RNA", at positions 129 to 355 of the family's 1533-position model. Lineage: Bacteria; Bacillati; Bacillota; Bacilli; Lactobacillales; Lactobacillaceae. The record is from RNAcentral.
CCCAAGAGAUCGGGAUAACACCUGGAAACAGAUGCUAAUACCGGAUAACAACAGAUGAUGCCUAUCAACUGUUUAAAAGAUGGUUCUGCUAUCACUCUUGGAUGGACCUGCGGUGCAUUAGCUAGUUGGUAGGGUAACGGCCUACCAAGGCGAUGAUGCAUAGCCGAGUUGAGAGACUGAUCGGCCACANUUGGGACUGAGACACGGCCCAAACUCCUACGGGGAGGCAGCAGCC